UACGAAGGGGGCUAGCGUUGUUCGGAAUUACUGGGCGUAAAGGGCGCGUAGGCGGCAAUUCAAGUCAGCUGUGAAAUCUCCGGGCUUAACUCGGAACGGUCAGCUGAUACUGCUUUGCUAGAGUGCAGAAGGGGCAAUCGGAAUUCUUGGUGUAGCGGUGAAAUGCGUAGAUAUCAAGAGGAACACCUGAGGUGAAGACGGGUUGCUGGGCUGACACUGACGCUGAGGCGCGAAAGCUAGGGUAGCAAACGGG
Molecule: ribosomal RNA, 253 nt
Filed under: uncultured bacterium
Lineage: Bacteria
Description: partial 16S ribosomal RNA
Rfam family: Bacterial small subunit ribosomal RNA
Source: RNAcentral